GGGUUGUGAGGUUAAGCGACUAAGCGUACACGGUGGAUGCCCUGGCAGUCAGAGGCGAUGAAGGACGUGCUAAUCUGCGAUAAGCGCCGGUAAGGUGAUAUGAACCGUUAUAACCGGCGAUUUCCGAAUGGGGAAACCCAGUGUGAUUCGUCACACUAUCAUUAACUGAAUCCAUAGGUUAAUGAGGCGAACCGGGGGAACUGAAACAUCUAAGUACCCCGAGGAAAAGAAAUCAACCGAGAUUCCCCCAGUAGCGGCGAGCGAACGGGGAGGAGCCCAGAGCCUGAAUCAGCAUAUGUGUUAGUG
RNAcentral lists this ribosomal RNA (306 nucleotides) under Salmonella enterica subsp. enterica. Its description in RNAcentral is "partial 23S ribosomal RNA". It matches the Rfam family "Bacterial large subunit ribosomal RNA", at positions 1 to 302 of the family's 2925-position model. The record is from RNAcentral. Lineage: Bacteria; Pseudomonadati; Pseudomonadota; Gammaproteobacteria; Enterobacterales; Enterobacteriaceae.